GUCCCAGUAGCUCAGUUGGAUAGAGCACGAGCCUCCUAAGCCCGGGGUCGCACGUUCGAGUCGUGUCUGGGACG
Molecule: transfer RNA, 74 nt
Filed under: Anaerofilum sp. An201
Lineage: Bacteria; Bacillati; Bacillota; Clostridia; Eubacteriales; Oscillospiraceae
Rfam family: tRNA
About the family: Transfer RNA (tRNA) molecules are approximately 80 nucleotides in length. Their secondary structure includes four short double-helical elements and three loops (D, anti-codon, and T loops). Further hydrogen bonds mediate the characteristic L-shaped molecular structure. tRNAs have two regions of fundamental functional importance: the anti-codon, which is responsible for specific mRNA codon recognition, and the 3' end, to which the tRNAs corresponding amino acid is attached (by aminoacyl-tRNA synthetases). tRNAs cope with the degeneracy of the genetic code in two manners: having more than one tRNA (with a specific anti-codon) for a particular amino acid; and 'wobble' base-pairing, i.e. permitting non-standard base-pairing at the 3rd anti-codon position.
Source: Rfam by way of RNAcentral